RNAcentral lists this ribosomal RNA (492 nucleotides) under Schmidingerella taraikaensis. RNAcentral's name for it is "partial Bacterial large subunit ribosomal RNA". It matches the Rfam family "Bacterial large subunit ribosomal RNA", at positions 1 to 512 of the family's 2925-position model. The record is from RNAcentral. Lineage: Eukaryota; Ciliophora; Spirotrichea; Tintinnida; Rhabdonellidae.
AAGUAAGUAAGGGCGUAUGGCGGAUGCCUAGGCUCUCAGAGGCGAAGAAGGACGUGAUAAGCUGCGAAAAGCUACGGGGAUUGGCACAUACAAAUUGAUCCGUAGAUAUCCGAAUGGGGCAACCCACUAUAUUGAAGAUAUAGUAUCCUGUAAAGGAGGCGAACCCGGAGAACUGAAACAUCUAAGUACCCGGAGGAGAAGAAAACAAAAGUGAUUCCGUUAGUAGUGGCGAGCGAACGCGGAGAAGCCCAAACCAGUGUUGUUACGGCAAUACUGGGGUUGUAGGACCACGACAUUUGAUGCUCAACGAAUUAGAAUACUUUGGAAAGAGUAACCGAAGAGGGUGAUAGUCCCGUAUAGGUAAGUUGAGUUAUUGAUAGUGGUAUCCUGAGUAGUGCGGGACACGAGUAAUCCUGUAUGAAUCCACCGGGACCAUCCGGUAAGGCUAAAUACUCCUGAGAGACCGAUAGUGAACAAGUACCGUGAGGGAAA